RNAcentral lists this long non-coding RNA (225 nucleotides) under Elaeis guineensis (African oil palm). RNAcentral's name for it is "long non-coding RNA (EGUI_LNC033339)". Lineage: Eukaryota; Viridiplantae; Streptophyta; Magnoliopsida; Arecales; Arecaceae. The record is from RNAcentral.
UUCGCUUAUUGCCGUUGCCGUCACCGAUCUUCCCAUCAUCGCUCGUCGUCGUCAUCGCCGCCGCCGUCAUCGUUACUGUCCCUAUUGCUUAUUCAGGUAUUGCUUGUUCUGGUAUUACUCGUUCUUGAUCAUUUCCAUCAGGUAUUGCUCGUUCUUACUAAUUUCCCUAUUCAUUUGGCUUUGCUUUGGCAUUUCGAACAGACGUAUUUGAAUGGUUCCUUCCCC